CAGAAUUCCCCCCUUCUUCUUUAAUAUGAUUUUAAUUUGGGCCGUAUUGAAAGUACAGGCAGGUUCCUCAUGGGUUUAGUACAAGUCAUCAAGAUCACCUUUAAUUUAAAAAAAGACAUGUUUGCAUUUUUUAUUGUACCUUCGUGCAUUUCAGUGUUGCUAACAAUAUUUGUAUCUCUUCUGUACUGGUGAAAAGCAAGACAUAAAACAGUUUUAUACAAAUGUGUUCAAGUUACUAUGAUGUUUUUCACACAAUCGUGAGCAAAUUACGUGAAUUUCAUGUCGAUUACAAAUUUUAAAAACAAGAAAAAGCUUUCUGUACCAAUAAAUGCUUUGGAAAUAUUAGAAAAA
Molecule: long non-coding RNA, 351 nt
Organism: Thalassophryne amazonica
Lineage: Eukaryota; Metazoa; Chordata; Actinopteri; Batrachoidiformes; Batrachoididae
Exons: 2
Source: RefSeq, a predicted model, not a curated record